RNAcentral lists this ribosomal RNA (787 nucleotides) under uncultured organism. Its description in RNAcentral is "SSU rRNA". It matches the Rfam family "Bacterial small subunit ribosomal RNA", at positions 28 to 810 of the family's 1533-position model. The record is from RNAcentral.
AUUGAACGCUGGCGGCAGGCCUAACACAUGCAAGUCGAGCGGUAGAGAGAAGCUUGCUUCUCUUGAGAGCGGCGGACGGGUGAGUAAUGCCUAGGAAUCUGCCUGGUAGUGGGGGAUAACGUCCGGAAACGGACGCUAAUACCGCAUACGUCCUACGGGAGAAAGCAGGGGACCCUCGGGCCUUGCGCUAUCAGAUGAGCCUAGGUCGGAUUAGCUAGUUGGUGGGGUAAUGGCUCACCAAGGCGACGAUCCGUAACUGGUCUGAGAGGAUGAUCAGUCACACUGGAACUGAGACACGGUCCAGACUCCUACGGGAGGCAGCAGUGGGGAAUAUUGGACAAUGGGCGAAAGCCUGAUCCAGCCAUGCCGCGUGUGUGAAGAAGGUCUUCGGAUUGUAAAGCACUUUAAGUUGGGAGGAAGGGCAGUAAAUUAAUACUUUGCUGUUUUGACGUUACCGACAGAAUAAGCACCGGCUAACUCUGUGCCAGCAGCCGCGGUAAUACAGAGGGUGCAAGCGUUAAUCGGAAUUACUGGGCGUAAAGCGCGCGUAGGUAGUUCGUUAAGUUGGAUGUGUAAUCCCCGGGCUCAACCUGGGAACUGCAUUCAAAACUGACGAGCUAGAGUAUGGUAGAGGGUGGUGGAAUUUCCUGUGUAGCGGUGAAAUGCGUAGAUAUAGGAAGGAACACCAGUGGCGAAGGCGACCACCUGGACUGAUACUGACACUGAGGUGCGAAAGCGUGGGGAGCAAACAGGAUUAGAUACCCUGGUAGUCCACGCCGUAAACGAU